UACAGAGGGCCCGAGCGUUGUUCGGAUUCACUGGGCGUAAAGGGUGCGUAGGUGGCAGGGUAAGUCGGAUGUGAAAGCUCGGAGCUCAACUCCGAAAUGGCGUUGGAAACUACCCAGCUCGAGGGUUGGAGGGGGGACUGGAAUGCUUGGUGUAGCAGUGAAAUGCGUAGAUAUCAAGCGGAACACCAGUGGCGAAGGCGAGUCCCUGGACAACUCCUGACACUGAGGCACGAAAGCUAGGGGAGCAAACAGG
This 253-nucleotide ribosomal RNA is filed under the name uncultured bacterium. RNAcentral's name for it is "partial 16S ribosomal RNA". It matches the Rfam family "Bacterial small subunit ribosomal RNA", at positions 524 to 776 of the family's 1533-position model. The record is from RNAcentral.